This 329-nucleotide unclassified non-coding RNA is filed under the name soil metagenome. RNAcentral's name for it is "partial contains 5.8S ribosomal RNA, internal transcribed spacer 2, and large subunit ribosomal RNA". The stretch from base 1 to 120 matches the Rfam family "5.8S ribosomal RNA", at positions 35 to 154 of the family's 154-position model. The record is from RNAcentral.
GAUGAAGAACGUAGUGAAAGGCGAUAAGUAGUGUGAAUUGCAGAAUUCAGUGAAUCAUCGAAUCUUUGAACGCACAUUGCGCCCCUUGGUAUCCCGAGGGGCAUGCCUGUUCGAGCGUCAUUUCACCACUCAAGCCUGGCUUGGUGUUGGGCGACGUCCUCUUUGGGGACGCGCCUCGAAACGCUCGGCGGCGUGGCACCGGCUUUAAGCGUAGCAGAAUCUUUCGCUUUGGAAGUCGGGGCCCCGUCUGCCGGAAGACCUGCUCGCAAGGUUGACCUCGGAUCAGGCAGGGAUACCCGCUGAACUUAAGCAUAUCAAUAAGCGGAGGA